UGGGGAAUAUUGGGCAAUGGGCGAAAGCCUGACCCAGCAACGCCGCGUGAGUGAUGAAGGCCUUCGGGUUGUAAAACUCUUUGGACAGGGACGAAGAAAGUGACGGUACCUGUAGAACAAGCCACGGCUAACUACGUGCCAGCAGCCGCGGUAAUACGUAGGUGGCGAGCGUUAUCCGGAUUUACUGGGCGUAAAGGGCGUGUAGGCGGCUAGAUAAGUGUGAUGUUUAAAUCCAAGGCUUAACCUUGGGGUUCAUUACAAACUGUUUAGCUUGAGUGAUGGAGAGGAUAGUGGAAUUCCUAGUGUAGCGGUAAAAUGCGUAGAUAUUAGGAGGAACACCGGUGGCGAAGGCGGCUAGCUGGACAGUGACUGACGCUGAGGCGCGAAAGCGUGGGGAGCAAACAGG
Molecule: ribosomal RNA, 406 nt
Filed under: Verrucomicrobiota bacterium
Lineage: Bacteria; Pseudomonadati; Verrucomicrobiota
Description: Verrucomicrobia bacterium partial 16S ribosomal RNA
Rfam family: Bacterial small subunit ribosomal RNA
Source: RNAcentral